RNAcentral lists this long non-coding RNA (264 nucleotides) under Mytilus galloprovincialis (Mediterranean mussel). The record is from RNAcentral. Lineage: Eukaryota; Metazoa; Mollusca; Bivalvia; Mytilida; Mytilidae.
GUCCACUCAUAUUUUGUUUUACUAGUUUAACGUUAUCCAAGACAUAACAAUCUAUAAUCUGACAUUAGAACACUCAGAAAAUGAAAAUUACCUUCAACUGCUAAAAACAGCAUCCGAUUUUACUGUAGACAGUGUAGUUAGAUUUUGUAAAACGCAUUUGCAUUUCAAACGAAUAUUCACAACAGAAAAAGAUAACGGCAUAUCAAUAAUCCUUUGAAAACAAAUAUUUUCGAAACAUUUCCUUGAAUAAAGCACUAAUUAACA